Molecule: non-coding RNA, 24 nt
Filed under: Cricetulus griseus (Chinese hamster)
Lineage: Eukaryota; Metazoa; Chordata; Mammalia; Rodentia; Cricetidae
Source: RNAcentral
UCUGGUUAAAAGCAUGGACUGUGC